Unclassified non-coding RNA from Papio anubis (olive baboon), 148 nucleotides. It matches the Rfam family "Metazoan signal recognition particle RNA". Rfam says of the family: The signal recognition particle (SRP) is a universally conserved ribonucleoprotein. It is involved in the co-translational targeting of proteins to membranes. The record is from Ensembl. Lineage: Eukaryota; Metazoa; Chordata; Mammalia; Primates; Cercopithecidae.
GCCGGGCGUGGUGGCGCUUGCCUGUAAUCCCAGCUACUCGGGAGGCUGAGGCGGGAGAAUCGCUUGAACCCGGGAGGCAGAGCUUGCAGUGAGCCGAGAUCGUGCCACUGCACUCCAGCCUGGGCAACAGAGCGAGACCCCGUCUCAA